AAGUCGUAACAAGGUUUCCGUAGGUGAACCUGCGGAAGGAUCAUUAAUGAAAGAUAAUUUUUUGGGGUUUUCCCUGAAAAAUAAUUCACCAUUUGUGCAUUGUUAUUAGAUAUACUUUGGUUAGAGCUUUGAUUUCAUUUAUUGGAAUCAACUUCUUGCUGACUCUAUCCUUUUUAAAGGACAGUUGGCUAUGAAGCGGCCUACCAAGGUUUUUUUAUCAAACACAUUUAAUCCAACUGACCUAAAACAAAUAAUUAAAUCAUAACUUUCAACAACGGAUCUCUUGGCUCUC
RNAcentral lists this unclassified non-coding RNA (292 nucleotides) under fungal sp. RNAcentral's name for it is "partial internal transcribed spacer region". The stretch from base 1 to 46 matches the Rfam family "Eukaryotic small subunit ribosomal RNA", at positions 1786 to 1831 of the family's 1831-position model. The record is from RNAcentral. Lineage: Eukaryota; Fungi.